GCUAAAUAAGAGCGUAUGGGGAAUGCCUUGGCUCUCAGAGGCGAUGAAGGACGUGAUAAGCUGCGAAAAGCUGCGGGGAUUGGCACAUACAAACUGAUCCGUAGAUAUCCGAAUGGGGCAACCCAGCAUGUUGAAGACAUGUUACACCGAAAGGUGAGCAAACCCGGAGAACUGAAACAUCUAAGUACCCGGAGGAGAAGAAAACAAAAGUGAUUCCGUUAGUAGUGGCGAGCGAAAGCGGAUUAGCCCAAACCAAUAUUGUUAAGGCAAUAUUGGGGUUGUAGGACUGCAAUAAUUGAACUGUAAUGAAUUAGAAUAGUUUGGAAAAACUAACCAAAGAGGGUGAUAGUCCCGUAUAAGUAAAGAACAGUAAGAUAGCAGUAUCCUGAGUAGUGCGGGACACGAGUAAUCCUGUGUGAAUCAGUCGGGACCAUCCGAUAAGGCUAAAUACUCCUGAGAGACCGAUAGUGAACUAGUACCGUGAGGGAAAGGUGAAAAGAACCCUGAAUAAGGGAGUGAAAUAGAUCCUGAAACCAUACGCUUACAAGCGGUCGGAGCAGCGUAAGUUGUGACGGCGUGCCUUUUGCAUAAUGAGCCUACGAGUUACCGUUGCUAGCAAGGUUAAGUGAUUAAGUCACGGAUCCGUAGCGAAAGCGAGUCUGAAUAGGGCGUUUUAGUUAGUAGUGGUAGACGCGAAACCGUGUGAUCUACCCAUGGGCAGGGUGAAGCUGUAGUAACAUACAGUGGAGGCCCGAACCGAUAUACGUUGAAAAGUGUUCGGAUGACCUGUGGGUAGGGGUGAAAGGCCAAUCAAACUCGGAAAUAGCUCGUACUCCCCGAAAUGCAUUUAGGUGCAGCGUUGAUUUAUAGUUUUAUAGAGGUAGAGCUACUGAUUGGAUGCGGGGGCUUCACCGCCUACCAAUUCCUGACAAACUCCGAAUGCUAUAAAAUGUUAAUCAGCAGUGAGGGCAUGGGUGCUAAGGUCCAUGUCCGAAAGGGAAACAACCCAGACCAUCAGCUAAGGUCCCCAAAUAUAUGUUAAGUUGAAUAAACGAGGUUGAACUGCUUUGACAGCUAGGAUGUUGGCUUGGAAGCAGCCAUUCAUUUAAAGAGUGCGUAACAGCUCACUAGUCGAGCGAUUGAGCAUGGAUAAUAAUCGGGCAUAAAGUAUAUUACCGAAGCUAUGGAAUUGUUAGCAAUAACAAAUUGGUAGGGGAGCAUUCUAGUCAGCGUUGAAGGUGUAUCGUAAGGUAUGCUGGAGCGUCUAGAAAAGAAAAUGUAGGAAUAAGUAACGAUAAGGCAGGCGAGAAACCUGCCCACCGAUAGACUAAGGUUUCCUGAUCAACGCUAAUCGGAUCAGGGUUAGUCGGGACCUAAGGCGAACCCGAAAGGGGUAGUCGAUGGAUAACAGGUUAAUAUUCCUGUACUAGCAUAUAUUGCGAUGGGGUGACGGAGUAGUGAAAGGUCUGCGUACUGACGGAAUAGUACGUUGAAGAGUGUAGGUAUUAGACUUAUAGGAAAAUCCGUAAGACUAGCUGAACUUGAUAGUACCAAGAGCCUUCGGGCAAUUGGAUAAUGACCCUAAUCAGACUUCCAAGAAAAACCUCUAAGCAUCAGAUAUAUGCUACUCGUACCGCAAACCGACACAGGUAGUCAAGGAGAGAAUCCUAAGGUGCUCGAGUGAUUCAUGGUUAAGGAACUAGGCAAAAUCGCCUCGUAACUUCGGGA
Molecule: ribosomal RNA, 1728 nt
Filed under: Tripos fusus
Lineage: Eukaryota; Dinophyceae; Gonyaulacales; Ceratiaceae
Description: partial Bacterial large subunit ribosomal RNA
Rfam family: Bacterial large subunit ribosomal RNA
Source: RNAcentral